CGGCAGUCCAUCGCUGGAGCACAGGUGAGGAGGUUCAGGAGGGACCCCGGGACAGCAGUCCCAGGGUGACGGCAGUCCAUCGCUGGAGCACAGGUGAGGAGAUGAUGCAGGAGGGACCCCGGGACAGCAGUCCCAGGAUGACGGCAGUCCAUCGCUGGAGCACAGGUGAGGAGGUUCAGGAGGGACCCCGGGACAGCAGUCCCAGGGUGACGGCAGUCCAUCGCUGGAGCACAGGUGAGGAGAUGAUGCAGGAGGGACCCCGGGACAGCAGUCCCAGGAUGACGGCAGUCCAUCGCUGGAGCACAGGUGAGGAGAUGCAGGAGGGACCCCGGGACAGCAGUCCCAGGGUGACGGCAGUCCAUCGCUGGAGCACAGGUGAGGAGAUGAUGCAGGAGGGACCCCGGGACAGCAGUCCCAGGAUGACGGCAGUCCAUCGCUGGAGCACAGGUGAGG
RNAcentral lists this long non-coding RNA (453 nucleotides) under Cricetulus griseus (Chinese hamster). RNAcentral describes it as "lncRNA (ENSCGRG00015039700.1)". The record is from RNAcentral. Lineage: Eukaryota; Metazoa; Chordata; Mammalia; Rodentia; Cricetidae.